GCAUGGGUUUGGAUUUAUGGUGGGCCCGUCCCCCUGGGCCUCUCAUAGUGUCCCAUGCCACAGCAGAGGUGGCCCCGAACCAUUGCCUGGCCUCCGCCGUAGGCUGCGGGCACUGAAGCGGGCCGCACACUG
Small nucleolar RNA from Hyaena hyaena (striped hyena), 132 nucleotides. RefSeq annotates it as small nucleolar RNA SNORA42/SNORA80 family. NCBI's taxonomy places the organism in Eukaryota, Metazoa, Chordata, Mammalia, Carnivora, Hyaenidae. The transcript has a single exon. The record is from RefSeq and is a predicted model, not a curated record.